Molecule: ribosomal RNA, 468 nt
Filed under: uncultured bacterium
Lineage: Bacteria
Description: partial 16S ribosomal RNA
Rfam family: Bacterial small subunit ribosomal RNA
Source: RNAcentral
GACGAACACUGGCGGCGUGCUUAACACAUGCAAGUCGAACGGAAAGGCCCUGCUUUUGUGGGGUGCUCGAGUGGCGAACGGGUGAGUAACACGUGAGUAACCUGCCCUUGACUUUGGGAUAACUUCAGGAAACUGGGGCUAAUACCGGAUAGGAGCUCCUGUUGCAUGGUGGGGGUUGGAAAGUUUCGGCGGUUGGGGAUGGACUCGCGGCUUAUCAGCUUGUUGGUGGGGUAGUGGCGUACCAAGGCUUUGACGGGUAGCCAGCCUGAGAGGGUGACCGGCCACAGUGGGACUGAGAUACGACCCAGACUGCUACGGGAGGAAGCAGUGGGGAAUAUUGCACAAUGGGCGGAAGCCUGAUGCAGCAACGCCGCGUGCGGGAUGACGGCCUUCGGGUUGUAAACCGCUUUCGCCUGUGACGAAGCGUGAGUGACGGUAAUGGGUAAAGAAGCACCGGCUAACUACGUG